ACGUAGGGGGCGAGCGUUGUCCGGAAUCAUUGGGCGUAAAGCGCGUGUAGGCGGCUUGGCAAGUCUGGUGUGAAAGCUCGAGGCUCAACCUCGAGUCUGCACCGGAAACUGCCUUGCUAGAGUCCGGAAGAGGAGACUGGAAUUCCUGGUGUAGCGGUGAAAUUCGUAGAGAUCGGGAGGAAUAUCAGUGGCGAAGGCGCCCAUCUGGACGGUAACUGACGCUGAGACGCGAAAGCGUGGGGAGCAAACAG
Molecule: ribosomal RNA, 251 nt
Filed under: uncultured prokaryote
Description: partial 16S rRNA
Rfam family: Bacterial small subunit ribosomal RNA
Source: RNAcentral